Molecule: transfer RNA, 72 nt
Filed under: Phrynosoma platyrhinos (Desert horned lizard)
Lineage: Eukaryota; Metazoa; Chordata; Lepidosauria; Squamata; Phrynosomatidae
Description: tRNA-OTHER
Source: RNAcentral
GACAGUGUGGUUUAGUGGUUUGAGCAUUGGACUAUCACCCUGGAGACCAGGGUUUGAAUCCCAUCUUGGCCA